Molecule: ribosomal RNA, 274 nt
Filed under: uncultured bacterium
Lineage: Bacteria
Description: partial 16S ribosomal RNA
Rfam family: Bacterial small subunit ribosomal RNA
Source: RNAcentral
AGACGGAGGGUCCUAGCGUUGUUCGGAAUGACUGGGCGUAAAGGGUACGUAGGCGGUUUGGUCAGUUAGAUGUGAAAGCCCAGGGCUCAACCUUGGAACUGCAUUUAAUACUGCCAAACUUGAGAUCGGAAGAGGAAAGCGGAAUUUCUAGUGUAGAGGUGAAAUUCGUAGAUAUUAGAAGGAACAUCAGAGGCGAAGGCGGCUUUCUGGUCCGAUACUGACGCUGAGGUACGAAAGCGUGGGGAGCAAACAGGAUUAGAAACCCUUGUAGUCC